This 433-nucleotide ribosomal RNA is filed under the name uncultured bacterium. RNAcentral describes it as "partial 16S ribosomal RNA". It matches the Rfam family "Bacterial small subunit ribosomal RNA", at positions 29 to 507 of the family's 1533-position model. The record is from RNAcentral.
AACGAACGCUGGCGGCAUGCCUAACACAUGCAAGUCGAACGAGACCUUCGGGUCUAGUGGCGCACGGGUGCGUAACGCGUGGGAACCUGCCCUUAGGUUCGGAAUAACUCCCCGAAAGGGGUUCUAAUACCGGAUAAUGUCUUCGGCCCAAAGAUUUAUCGCCUUUGGAUGGGCCCGCGUUGGAUUAGCUAGUUGGUAGGGUAAAAGCCUACUAAGGCGAAGAUCCAUAGCUGGUCUGAGAGGAUGAUCAGCCACACUGGGACUGAGACACGGCCCAGACUCCUACGGGAGGCAGCAGUGGGGAAUAUUGGACAAUGGGCGAAAGCCUGAUCCAGCAAUGCCGCGUGAGUGAUGAAGGCCUUAGGGUUGUAAAGCGCUUUUAACCGGGAUGAUAAUGACAGUACCGGGAGAAUAAGCACCGGCUAACUCCGUG